This 349-nucleotide transfer-messenger RNA is filed under the name Verrucomicrobiia bacterium. It matches the Rfam family "transfer-messenger RNA". From Rfam's summary of the family: Bacterial tmRNA, also known as 10Sa RNA or SsrA, is named for its dual tRNA and mRNA-like properties. Its role is to liberate the mRNA from a stalled ribosome. Lineage: Bacteria; Pseudomonadati; Verrucomicrobiota; Verrucomicrobiia. The record is from RNAcentral.
GGGGGCGAUUGGCUUCGACUUUGGUGUGGAAGCUUUCGCUGCAGGCCGAGGUUGCCGGUUGGCCUCGUAAAACGACCGGCAAAAAAAUAAAAGCCAACGAUACACUGGCUCUCGCGGCCUAACGUCCGCGAGCGGGCCCAUGCUGACACCUGCUAGGUGAGGUGCCCGACGCAGCAGGUUAGUGAGGGCGGGAGUGACCGCCUAACCCUCGCGAAAUUCAUCGUGGUCGCUAUCACGGAUCGUAGCCGCCGUUCGCGUUCGAUCCGCUGAAACUCUUGAACGGAUACGCCUGUAGACGCGUCAGUUGAAACGCCAAAGGACCAGGGUUCGAUCCCCUGCGCCUCCACCA